RNAcentral lists this ribosomal RNA (404 nucleotides) under Actinomycetes bacterium. Its description in RNAcentral is "Actinobacteria bacterium partial 16S ribosomal RNA". It matches the Rfam family "Bacterial small subunit ribosomal RNA", at positions 355 to 776 of the family's 1533-position model. The record is from RNAcentral. Lineage: Bacteria; Bacillati; Actinomycetota; Actinomycetes.
UGGGGAAUAUUGGACAAUGGGCGCAAGCCUGAUCCAGCCAUGCCGCGUGAGUGAUGAAGGCCCUAGGGUUGUAAAGCUCUUUCACCGGUGAAGAUAAUGACGGUAACCGGAGAAGAAGCCCCGGCUAACUUCGUGCCAGCAGCCGCGGUAAUACGAAGGGGGCUAGCGUUGUUCGGAUUUACUGGGCGUAAAGUGCACGUAGGCGGACUUUUAAGUCAGGGGUGAAAUCCCGGGGCUCAACCCCGGAACUGCCUUUGAUACUGGAAGUCUGGAGUAUGGUAGAGGUGAGUGGAAUUCCGAGUGUAGAGGUGAAAUUCGUAGAUAUUCGGAGGAACACCAGUGGCGAAGGCGGCUCACUGGACCAUUACUGACGCUGAGGUGCGAAAGCGUGGGGAGCAAACAGG